AAGAACUGGAUGACUUAUUUUCAUGGACUUAUUUCCACGACAACUUCUCCAAGGCUUAUUUCUAUCGCAGCUUAUGCAUAAGCUGCACCUCAAAGUGCAAAAACGCAUAGACAAGCAAACCGGGCUCCAAAGGGGCCCUUGUUCUUAAUGACCAACCCUGGCACACGAAUUGAUUGGUCGAACAUGGGUGUUUUCCAAGCGGAUAUAAAGACAUUGCACGACACAACAAUGACAGGUCAAUUAAAAACAACCAGUAGCGGUACUACAACAUAGUACAUCAUAAUCUUGCAUACAAACUCUACUAUGUAGGACUGUCAGGCUUGGGGCGUCUCUUAAUAAUGUUUUGUAGGGGACACACUCCUGCGACAUACUUGGCCUCUUCAAUGAGGAAUUGCUGCGGAUUAGGACUCCCCGACAGAGGCCUCACCAGAGACCACAAGUUCAAGUUAGGAUGAUGCGCCCUCACACCAGCGCAAACUUGGCGAGCUCCUUCAAAGGCCGUGGAGUAGAUCUAGUCCUCUGGAUGAUCAGGAUACUUCCCCGAGCAGAUCCAGGACAGUCUCAAUGUUAGACUUCAGCAGGAGACCAUCGCGGUGUAAAGUACCAACGACAACCUUAAGGGCGGUCCUCAUCUUCUCAGCCACCGCCGCGACGUCUUGGAUCCAGGCCUCCGCAUCAUCGUUCUGGAUCUCUGGCAGCGGAGCUGCAAAAAGCAAACAAAGAGCAUAUCAAAGAGGAGGCAACCUAGAAGGUUAAAGAGCACUCAAGGUCCUUCCGAAGUUGGACAACCUUCUAUUCGGCCACCCAGGCCACGUCACCCUGCUGCGUCAAUUUCUUCUCCGUGGCCUCCAGAUCACGCUGGAUCAAACCCCGACGGUCCUUAUUCUCCUCUGAGUCAUUACAAAGGGCGCGACAUACAUCCUGCUCCCGUUGAAGGGUAGCCUCCAAAUGUGAUUUGGAGGACAACAUUAUCUCUAGCUCCUUCAUGGCGGUAUGUUCCGCCUCCUCCGCCUGCUUACGGUCCUGGAGGCCUCAUCCAAUUCUUGACGGAGGGCUGCAGCAUCCCCGGGGGCUACACAUGGAAGAAAUUACAAUACCCCCAUCCAGACACAUCAAACUAAAAGGCAGGACCACGCUGAGUUCAAUUCAAAGUGGUCACUUACAGGAGGCGCCAUCCCUGGCACGCUGCAAGCCACAGGUCUUCUGCUCCAAGAGCUCCCAGCUGCUCCUCCAACUCCGAGACCUGCGCAACAAGGCUAUGGUUCUCCCCAACGAGCACCUAAACAAAAACACAAGGUAAGACACCAUCCAGUUCGUCUACUAAAGACAUAUGUUGAACCAAGCAUGGCUCUCAGGCUACCACCAUACUUGGUCUCGGGGGCUACUACCACUACAAGUUAAGGGAAAAAGUUACCUUGAAGUUGGGAUCUGCAGAAAGCCCCACCUACUUCAAGACUGAUCACAGGCACUUCAGCGCCUCGUUGGCAGCCCUUAAGGGUGUCACGAUCUCCUAGGGAACCUCUGGCGGAAGCCCCUGUGCAUAAAUGAAGGGACCUCCGGCGCAACCGGCGGAGAAUGAACUGCCUCCCCUCUGGACAGGCUGUUGGAGAAUCCAGCGGUGUGCUGGCCGACUGGUCAACACUGCCAGCUACGGCCUUCGAAAUUGUAGGUGUCGUUGUCAUGCUCGCUAAAGGAAAGACAAACACUCCAGGGGAGCCUAGUCCUUCCACACGGACAUGUGAUAGACCUAUGGGCCUCACGACAGAAGACGAGUCCCCAUCCCCACCGUCCUUGGUGGUGCUCUCCGUGUCCGUGGCCACCACAAGCACCACAGAGGCCCUCCCGCAAACAGGCGGAUUCAUUAAUCUACUGCACCUAUUAAAGGCAUAGGGAGCUCGGGUAAAAUACUUACCUGGGGGCUGGCGUCCGACCUCUGAAGAAGGGGCUCCAAAGAUAAGGGCGCACCGAGCAAAGUCACCAGCGGUGUGGCUGCGAUCGCAAUAUCCACAGAGGACCACACAACAUAGGAGGUCCCCGCUCCAAGAGAGGAGGCACUGAAAAAAGCAAACCAAAGAUAAAAAACCAUGGAAACUAGCAGAGGUCAGACCAAGAUAUGGUAAGACACGACUUACGGGGUGGUCACUAGAGCAUGUCGCCUCUGUGGCGGCACCGGGAUGUGCAAAGGGGUCUUCAAGCCUCGGGAUUUUGGGGAGCUCUCUCGAAGCUCUUGACCGUUGCUGCGGGCCGGAGACUCCUUAGGCAGGCCUCAACGGAGUUUCUUGAGGGGCUGAUGCGGCGUCUCAGCCUCAGCCUUCCCCAGAUCAUCUUCGCCGACCUCGUCCUCCUUGCUUUCCUCGUCACUGUCGGCCUCGUCUCCAUGGUCAUCAUCCCCAUCGUCAUCAUCAUCCUCAUCUUCAUCAUAUCCGUCAUCGUCGGCGCCACUAUCGUGGCCCUCGGGCGAAGAUGUUGCUGCUUCACUACCUCCUGCUCGACGGGGUCUUUCCCGUCCAUGUCAUCUGAGGCCUCCAUGUCGGAGGCCUCUUCCUCCUCAUCCUCAGAAGCCUCUUUGGAAGCCCUCCUCCACCUCUUCGCGGACUCGCCCUUCCCUCGGGCAGGCCCGGGGAGGGCUGGCAUCAUCAAGGCAGACAAGUUGGAGCUCAUGUUCUGCCCCAAUAGCAGGGGCUUAGAAUGAUACGCCACGAAGACGGCGAACCCCUAUGGAACAGUGACAUAGGGCAUUAGAAGAAGAGGCCCUGACCUCCAAAAAAGAUGGAACUGCAACACCCGUCGGGAGGUCGACCGAAAAAGGCUUGACGACUUUCCUUUAGAAACUUGUGAUGGUGUCAGGGCCCACGAGGAAGGUGAGGUACUCGUCAAUGUCCUUCGGGCUCUGCUCCUCCUGGGAGAACCGUGCGGGGUCUCUUGGCCUAGUGUAUUGGGACAAGAGGAGGGCUUGGGCAUGCAGUGGCAAGCCAUAGUCCGCACCACCCACGUCUACAUGAUAUGGCCUCCGGUCAGUCCACAAUUCUUCAGAAGGAAGAAGGGUGGUAGCAUCUGCCAAUGCCUUAGCCUCCAACGAUAACCUGUACAAGGGAUCCCACGACCGUAGCUUCCGCGGGGGCUCAUUCAUGAAGGCAAGAAGUUUGUUACAAAUACCCUCCACAUAGAACCAGGACUUGUGCCGCUCCUGAAUGGACUUUGGGAGGUCAAAGGAAAGAAAGUGAUUUGGGACGGAGCUGCAGGAUGGAUCCCCCAAGGUCGCAAAACGCACCCCCAUUCAUUUGAACGUAGACACGGAAAAAGUACCGGAACAACUCGAAAUAGGGAGCUAUCUCAAGGAAGCACUCACAUAAAGGUGAUAAAGUUUGUGAUAUGGAGUACUUUGUUGGGGGUGAUGUGAUGCAUUUGGCAACCAAAAAUCCAGAGAAGUCCAUGCACAAAGUUGUGGAGGGGAAAUUUGAUACGUCUCCAACAUAUUUAUAAUUUAUGAAGUAUUCAUGCCAUGUUUGCAACACUUUUAUAUGGUUUUGGUAUGAUUUUAUUAGAACUAACCUGGACUAAUGCUGUUUUCAGCAGAACUACCGUGUGUCAUUUUUGUGUGCAGAAAUAAAAGUUCUCGGAAUGGGCUAAAAAUUUACGGUAAUUUUUUAUGGACCAAAAGAUACCCUAGGAGCAUAGGAGUUGGGCCAAGGAGUGACCGAGGAGGCCACAAGCCCAGGGGGCGCCCCCUAGGGCACCCCUGGCUUGUGGACUCCUCGGGAACCCCCUUGACGUGAGACCAACGCCAAAAAUUCUUAUAAAUCCUAACCUCUAGAAAGAAACCUAGAUCAUAAGUUACGCCGCCGCAAGCCUAUGUAGCCAUGAAAAAUAAAUAAAUGGGAGCCCGUUUUGGCACCCCGCCGGAGGGGGAAACCAUCACCGGAGGCCGUCUUCAUCAUCCCAACGGUCUCCAUGACGAGGAGGGAGUAGUUCACCCUCGGGGUCGAGGGUAUGUACCAGUAGCUAUGUGUUUGAUCUCUCUCUCUCUCUCUCUUGUGUUCUUGAUUUGGAUCGAUAUUGAUGUACCCCGAGCUUUGUUACUAUAGUUGGAUCAUAUGGUGUUUCUCCCCC
Molecule: long non-coding RNA, 4110 nt
Filed under: Triticum aestivum (bread wheat)
Lineage: Eukaryota; Viridiplantae; Streptophyta; Magnoliopsida; Poales; Poaceae
Description: long non-coding RNA (TAES_LNC006149)
Source: RNAcentral